GCGGGAGGCAGCAGUGAGGGAUAUUGGUCAAUGGGCGAGAGCCUGAACCAGCCAAGUAGCGUGAAGGAAGACUGCCCUAUGGGUUGUAAACUUCUUUUGUUCGGGAAUAAAGUGCCGUACGUGUACGGUUUUGCAUGUACCGUUCGAAUAAGCAUCGGCUAAUUCCGUGCCAGCAGCCGCGGUAAUACGGAAGAUGUGAGCGUUAUCCGGAUUUAUUGGGUUUAAAGGGAGCGUAGGCGGCCUUUUAAGUCGGUGGUCAAAGGUCAGUGCCCAACACUGGCCUGCCAUUGGUACUGGAGGGCUUGAAUACACACAAGGAAGGUGGAAUUCGUCGUGUAGCGGUGAAAUGCUUAGAUAUGACGAAGAACUCCGAUUGCGAAGGCAGCCUUCUGGAGUGCGAUUGACGCUGAGGCUCGAAAGCGCGGGUAUCAAACAGGAUUAGAUACCCUGGUA
Molecule: ribosomal RNA, 453 nt
Filed under: uncultured Paraprevotella sp.
Lineage: Bacteria; Pseudomonadati; Bacteroidota; Bacteroidia; Bacteroidales; Prevotellaceae
Description: partial 16S ribosomal RNA
Rfam family: Bacterial small subunit ribosomal RNA
Source: RNAcentral